GAUAGCUUUCUUAUGUCUCUCCCAGCAACCAUGAAACAAAUUUGUUUUGAGCAGUUUGAAAUUAACUAUUCCAAUAUGAUUGGCAAACCAUUGUAAUCAGCUUUUAUAAUUAAGCUUUCUCUGGGCACUAGACCUGUAGCUGGUACAUAUUCUGUUGUAUGUUAAACUUGAGAACAAGCUACCACAUGGCUGGAACUUGCUGUUUUUUUGAAGAAGUGUAUUAUCUCAUGUUUAUGUAUUGCACUGUUCAGUAUAUACAGAUUCAGAAAUCAGUAAAUUAUUUGGAAGUUGCUUUCUUGACAAAAAAUAAAAUAAAGUGGAU
Molecule: non-coding RNA, 322 nt
Organism: Notechis scutatus (mainland tiger snake)
Lineage: Eukaryota; Metazoa; Chordata; Lepidosauria; Squamata; Elapidae
Source: RefSeq, a predicted model, not a curated record